UCGAGAAUCUUCGGCAAUGGACGCAAGUCUGACCGAGCGACGCCGCGUGUGCGAUGAAGGCCCUUGGGUUGUAAAGCACUGUCAGAGGGGAGAAAAACUGAUCGAUCCUCAGAGGAAGCACGGGCUAAAUUCGUGCCAGCAGCCGCGGUAAUACGAAUCGUGCGAACGUUGUUCGGAAUCACUGGGCUUAAAGGGCGCGUAGGCGGGCGGCCAAGUCCGGGGUGAAAUCCCACAGCUCAACUGUGGAAUUGCCUCGGAUACUGGUCGCCUCGAGGGAGAUAGGGGCGUGUGGAACGAUUGGUGGAGCGGUGAAAUGCGUUGAUAUCAAUCGGAACUCCGGUGGCGAAGGCGACACGCUGGGUCUCUACUGACGCUGAGGCGCGAAAGCUAGGGUAGCGAAGAGGAUUAGAUACCCCCGUAGUCC
RNAcentral lists this ribosomal RNA (424 nucleotides) under uncultured prokaryote. RNAcentral's name for it is "bacterial SSU rRNA". It matches the Rfam family "Bacterial small subunit ribosomal RNA", at positions 355 to 796 of the family's 1533-position model. The record is from RNAcentral.